ACGGAAGGCAGCAGUGAGGGAUAUUGCACAAUGGGGGAAACCCUGAUGCAGCGACGUCGCGUGAGGGAAGAAGGUUUUUGGAUUGUAAACCUCUGUCUUUGGAGAAGAUAAUGACGGUAUCCAAAGAGGAAGCUCCGGCUAACUACGUGCCAGCAGCCGCGGUAAUACGUAGGGGGCGAGCGUUGUCCGGAAUUACUGGGUAUAAAGGGAGCGUAGGCGGGUUUGUAAGUUGAAUGUGAAAUUUAUGGGCUUAACUCAUAAACUGCGUUCAAAACUGCAGAUCUUGAGUAGAGUAGAGGCAGGCGGAAUUCCUAGUGUAGCGGUGAAAUGCGUAGAUAUUAGGAGGAACACCAGUGGCGAAGGCGGCCUGCUGGGCUUCAACUGACGCUGAGGCUCGAAAGCAUGGGGAGCAAACAGGAUUAGAUACCCUGGUA
RNAcentral lists this ribosomal RNA (434 nucleotides) under uncultured Oscillospiraceae bacterium. RNAcentral's name for it is "partial 16S ribosomal RNA". It matches the Rfam family "Bacterial small subunit ribosomal RNA", at positions 341 to 792 of the family's 1533-position model. Lineage: Bacteria; Bacillati; Bacillota; Clostridia; Eubacteriales; Oscillospiraceae. The record is from RNAcentral.